UACAUAGGGUGCGAGCGUUAAUCGGAAUUACUGGGCGUAAAGCGUGCGUAGACGGCUAUCUAAGUCGGGUGUGAAAGCCCCGGGCUCAACCUGGGAACGGCACUCGAUACUGCGGAGCUCGAGUACGAGAGAGGGGGGUGGAAUUCCAGGUGUAGCGGUGAAAUGCGUAGAGAUCUGGAGGAACACCGGUGGCGAAGGCGGCCCCCUGGUUCGAUACUGACGCUGAGGUGCGAAAGCGUGGGGAGCAAACAGG
Molecule: ribosomal RNA, 253 nt
Filed under: uncultured bacterium
Lineage: Bacteria
Description: partial 16S ribosomal RNA
Rfam family: Bacterial small subunit ribosomal RNA
Source: RNAcentral